GUGUCUGUAGCUCAGUUGGAUAGAGCACCGGCCUUCUAAGCCGGGGGUCGGGGGUUCGAAUCCCUUCAGGCACA
This 74-nucleotide transfer RNA is filed under the name Agathobacter rectalis. RNAcentral's name for it is "[Eubacterium] rectale tRNA-Arg". It matches the Rfam family "tRNA". From Rfam's summary of the family: Transfer RNA (tRNA) molecules are approximately 80 nucleotides in length. Lineage: Bacteria; Bacillati; Bacillota; Clostridia; Lachnospirales; Lachnospiraceae. The record is from RNAcentral.